UACGAAGGGGGCUAGCGUUGCUCGGAAUCACUGGGCGUAAAGCGCACGUAGCAGACUCUUAAGUCGGUGGUGAAAUCCUGGAGCUCAACUCCAGAACUGCCUUCGAUACUGAGAGUCUUGAGUCCGGGAGAGGUGAGUGGAACUGCGAGUGUAGAGGUGAAAUUCGUAGAUAUUCGCAAGAACACCAGUGGCGAAGGCGGCUCACCGGCCCGGUACUGACGCUGAGGUGCGAAAGCGUGGGGAGCAAACAGG
Molecule: ribosomal RNA, 252 nt
Filed under: uncultured bacterium
Lineage: Bacteria
Description: partial 16S ribosomal RNA
Rfam family: Bacterial small subunit ribosomal RNA
Source: RNAcentral